GAUGAACGCUGGCGGCGUGCCUAAUACAUGCAAGUCGAGCGAACAGACGAGGAGCUUGCUCCUCUGAUGUUAGCGGCGGACGGGUGAGUAACACGUGGAUAACCUACCUAUAAGACUGGGAUAGCUUCGGGAAACCGGAGCUAAUACCGGAUAACAUGUUGAACCGCAUGGUUCAACAGUGAAAGACGGUCUUGCUGUCACUUAUAGAUGGAUCCGCGCCGCAUUAGCUAGUUGGUAAGGUAACGGCUUACCAAGGCAACGAUGCGUAGCCGACCUGAGAGGGUGAUCGGCCACACUGGAACUGAGACACGGUCCAGACUCCUACGGGAGGCAGCAGUAGGGAAUCUUCGGCAAUGGGCGAAAGCCUGACGGAGCAACGCCGCGUGAGUGAAGAAGGUCUUCGGAUCGUAAAGCUCUGUUAUUAGGGAAGAACGAAUGUGUAAGUAACUAUGCACGUCUUGACGGUACCUAAUCAGAAAGCCACGGCUAACUACGUG
RNAcentral lists this ribosomal RNA (497 nucleotides) under uncultured bacterium. RNAcentral's name for it is "partial 16S ribosomal RNA". It matches the Rfam family "Bacterial small subunit ribosomal RNA", at positions 28 to 507 of the family's 1533-position model. The record is from RNAcentral.